UGAGUACCACGUUGGAACCUGCCCCAAAGUGAGGAAUAAGCCACCGAAAGGUGGUCUAAUACUUCAUAAUAUCCAUCUCGUAUGGAUUAAAGCUUUAUGCGCUUUGGAGGGGCCUGCGUAACAUUAGCUUGUUGGUGAGGUAAAAGCUCACCAAGGGCUUCGAUGUUUAACUGGUUUGAGAGGAUGACCAGUCACACUGGGACUGAGAUACGGCCCAGACUCCUACGGGAGGCAGCAGUAAGGAAUCUUCCACAAUGGGGCAACCCUGAUGGAGCAAUACCGCGUGCAGGAUGAAGCGUCUCGGCGUGUAAACUGCUUUUAUCACCGAAGAUUAUGACUGUAGGUGAAGAACAAGGACCGGCUAACUACGUG
This 372-nucleotide ribosomal RNA is filed under the name uncultured bacterium. Its description in RNAcentral is "bacterial SSU rRNA". It matches the Rfam family "Bacterial small subunit ribosomal RNA", at positions 107 to 507 of the family's 1533-position model. The record is from RNAcentral.